This 253-nucleotide ribosomal RNA is filed under the name uncultured bacterium. RNAcentral's name for it is "partial 16S ribosomal RNA". It matches the Rfam family "Bacterial small subunit ribosomal RNA", at positions 524 to 776 of the family's 1533-position model. The record is from RNAcentral.
UACAGGGGGUGCAAACGUUGCUCGGAAUCAUUGGGCGUAAAGCGCACGUAGGCGGUCUGUUAUGUCGGAUGUGAAAGCCCUCGGCUUAACUGAGGAAGUGCAUCCGAAACUGGCAGGCUAGAGUACUAAAGAGGGUCGCGGAAUUCCCGGUGUAGAGGUGAAAUUCGUAGAUAUCAGGAAGAACACCCGUGGCGAAAGCGGCUCUCUGGAACGGUACUGACGCUGAGACGCGAAAGCGUGGGGAGCGAACAGG